UCUGAGCUAAUCCUGCCGGGAAGCGCUACCCUCCAUUGUCUUUGUUUACUUGAGCCAACCACACUUUUAAUAACUUCACACAACUAGCAGCAGCCACUUGUAGUUCAAAAUUACCCCCCCCCCUAGAAUUGUUGAUGUGAGUUGUUCUCGUGGAUCCGUCCAUUGUUUAAAUCUGGUGCAGCUUCAGUGCUGUACAACAGGAAGUGGUUAAACUACUGUACAGUUGUUACAGCGACAUCCUCUGUGUCACACGAACAACCUCAUUUCACCAGCCAACACCUUUCAGACGAGGGGCUGAAAAAUCCUAGAAUCAACACACUCUUUCAGGCAGUAGUGAGUGUGGGCAGUGUGUUGUUGGACCAGAGGUGAAGUGUCAACUGGCAGCUCUCUGCCAAGCUGUUGGCUGGAGAAGUACAUUAACAGCAGACUGUGAGUCUCACAGUGGAGCCUGUGGAUGUGGAGAUCUGCAGCAGAGGAUCCCUAUGGACGCUCUGGCCUUUCUGUUUUUUCCCCUCUUGCUCCUCCCCUAC
Molecule: long non-coding RNA, 530 nt
Organism: Pleuronectes platessa (European plaice)
Lineage: Eukaryota; Metazoa; Chordata; Actinopteri; Pleuronectiformes; Pleuronectidae
Exons: 3
Source: RefSeq, a predicted model, not a curated record